RNAcentral lists this ribosomal RNA (1348 nucleotides) under Mycoplasmopsis arginini. RNAcentral's name for it is "Mycoplasma arginini 16S ribosomal RNA". It matches the Rfam family "Bacterial small subunit ribosomal RNA", at positions 93 to 1440 of the family's 1533-position model. The record is from RNAcentral. Lineage: Bacteria; Bacillati; Mycoplasmatota; Mycoplasmoidales; Metamycoplasmataceae.
UAGCGGCGAAUGGGUGAGUAACACGUGCUUAAUCUACCCUUUAGAUUGGAAUACCCAAUGGAAACAUUGGCUAAUGCCGGAUACGCAUGGAAUUGCAUGAUUCCGUUGUGAAAGGAGCCUUUAAAGCUCCGCUAGAGGAUGAGGGUGCGGAACAUUAGUUAGUUGGUAGGGUAAUGGCCUACCAAGACUAUGAUGUUUAGCCGGGUCGAGAGACUGAACGGCCACAUUGGGACUGAGAUACGGCCCAAACUCCUACGGGAGGCAGCAGUAGGGAAUAUUCCACAAUGAGCGAAAGCUUGAUGGAGCGACACAGCGUGCACGAUGAAGGUCUUCGGAUUGUAAAGUGCUGUUAUAGGGAAAGAACACCUGGUUGAGGAAAUGCUUCCAGGCUGACGGUACCCUGUCAGAAAGCGAUGGCUAACUAUGUGCCAGCAGCCGCGGUAAUACAUAGGUCGCAAGCGUUAUCCGGAAUUAUUGGGCGUAAAGCGUUCGUAGGCUGUUUAUUAAGUCUGGAGUCAAAUCCCAGGGCUCAACCCUGGCUCGCUUUGGAUACUGGUAAACUAGAGUUAGAUAGAGGUAAGCGGAAUUCCAUGUGAAGCGGUGAAAUGCGUAGAUAUAUGGAAGAACACCAAAGGCGAAGGCAGCUUACUGGGUCUAUACUGACGCUGAGGGACGAAAGCGUGGGGAGCAAACAGGAUUAGAUACCCUGGUAGUCCACGCCGUAAACGAUGAUCAUUAGUCGGUGGAGAGUUCACUGACGCAGCUAACGCAUUAAAUGAUCCGCCUGAGUAGUAUGCUCGCAAGAGUGAAACUUAAAGGAAUUGACGGGGACCCGCACAAGCGGUGGAGCAUGUGGUUUAAUUUGAAGAUACGCGGAGAACCUUACCCACUCUUGACAUCCUUCGCAAUGCUAUAGAGAUAUAGCGGAGGUUAACGGAGUGACAGAUGGUGCAUGGUUGUCGUCAGCUCGUGUCGUGAGAUGUUUGGUCAAGUCCUGCAACGAGCGCAACCCCUAUCUUUAGUUACUAACGAGUCAUGUCGAGGACUCUAGAGAUACUGCCUGGGUAACUGGGAGGAAGGUGGGGAUGACGUCAAAUCAUCAUGCCUCUUACGAGUGGGGCAACACACGUGCUACAAUGGUCGGUACAAAGAGAAGCAAUAUGGCGACAUGGAGCAAAUCUCAAAAAGCCGAUCUCAGUUCGGAUUGGAGUCUGCAAUUCGACUCCAUGAAGUCGGAAUCGCUAGUAAUCGCAGAUCAGCUACGCUGCGGUGAAUACGUUCUCGGGUCUUGUACACACCGCCCGUCACCCCAUGGGAGCUGGUAAUACCCAAAGUCGGUUAGCUAACC